Molecule: ribosomal RNA, 893 nt
Filed under: uncultured ANME-2 cluster archaeon
Lineage: Archaea; Methanobacteriati; Methanobacteriota; Methanomicrobia; Methanosarcinales
Description: bacterial SSU rRNA
Rfam family: Archaeal small subunit ribosomal RNA
Source: RNAcentral
UACUGCUAUCGGGGUCCGACUAAGCCAUGCGAGUUGAGAGGGGUAAGCCCUCGGCAUAUUGCUCAGUAACACGCGGAUAACCUGCCCUUGGGUUUGGGAUAACCCCGGGAAACUGGGACUAAUACCGGAUAGAUCAAAGAUACUGGAAUGUUCUUUGUUCGAAAGCUCCGGCGCCCAAGGAUGGGUCUGCGGCCUAUCAGGUAGUAGUGGGUGUAACGUACCUACUAGCCUACGACGGGUAAGGGUUGUGAGAGCAAGAGCCCUGAGAUGGAUUCUGAGACAUGAAUCCAGGCCCUACGGGGUGCAGCAGGCGCGAAAACUUUACACUGCGGGAAACCGCGAUAAGGGGACCCCGAGUGCCAGCACCUAGUGCUGGCUGUCCAGCUGUUCAAAAAACAGUUGUUAGCAAGGGCCGGGCAAGACCGGUGCCAGCCGCCGCGGUAACACCGGCGGCCCGAGUGGUAGCCGUUAUUAUUGGGUUUAAAGGGUCCGUAGCCGGCCCAUUAAGUCUCUUGGGAAAUCUGGCGACUCAAUCGUCAGGCGUUCAAGAGAUACUGGUAGGCUUGGGACCGGGAGAGGUGGGAGGUACUCCAGGGGUAGGGGUGAAAUCUCGUAAUCCUUGGGGGACCACCGAUGGCGAAGGCAUCCCACCAGAAUGGGUCCGACGGUGAGGGACGAAAGCUGGGGGCACGAACCGGAUUAGAUACCCGGGUAGUCCCAGCUGUAAACGAUGCUCGCUAGGUGUCAGGUGCGGUGCGACCGCAUCUGGUGCCGUAGUGAAAACUUGAAGCGAGUCACCUGGGAAGUACGGUCGCAAGGCUGAAACUUAAAGGAAUUGGCGGGGGAGCACUACAACGGGUGGAGCCUGCGGUUCAAUUGGAUUCAACGCCGGA